RNAcentral lists this ribosomal RNA (444 nucleotides) under uncultured prokaryote. RNAcentral's name for it is "bacterial SSU rRNA". It matches the Rfam family "Bacterial small subunit ribosomal RNA", at positions 355 to 796 of the family's 1533-position model. The record is from RNAcentral.
UGAGGAAUAUUGGGCAAUGGGGGAAACCCUGACCCAGCCACGCCGCGUGCAGGAUGACACCCCUAUGGGGCGUAAACUGCUUUUAUAUGGGAAGAACCCUUCCGAUUCGUCGGGAGCUGACGGUACCGUAUGAAUAAGGACCGGCUAACUCCGUGCCAGCAGCCGCGGUAAUACGGAGGGUCCAAGCGUUGUCCGGAUUUAUUGGGUGUAAAGGGUGUGUAGGCGGGCUUGUAAGUCAGAGGUGAAAUCCUACGGCUCAACCGUAGAACUGCCUUUGAUACUGCAAGUCUUGGGUCCUGGAGAGGUUGUUAGAAUUCGUGGUGUAGCGGUGAAAUGCGUAGAUAUCACGAGGAAUACCGGUUACGAAGGUUGACAACUGGACAGGUACUGACGCUGAGGCACGAAAGCGUGGGGAGCAAACAGGAUUAGAUACCCCCGUAGUCC